GUGACCAUUAUGUUCUAGGCUGAACCUUGAUCAAGUCCCAGACGGAACACCAGGGAGAAGAUUAGAGUCCAGUAGAAGACCAUGGUGGCUGUCAUAAUGGCAUCCUGGCAGGACCAGCAACAGAAACUCUGUUGAGGGCCUGGCACUGUUGAGUACCUGAAAUGGAAAGUCACAUGGAGUCCAGAGACUCAGCCUGCUGGGUAGCUGGAAGUCAGACCAGAGAGAAGCAGAUGUGCCAGCAGUGACAGAGGAAACCAUGCACUGGCAGAGAGAGAACAGCUACUUGACGUUCAGAAAUCCUUCACAUCUUCUUCAUGAGGUCUGAGCUGCAUUUUCUCAUAUGCUUUACAUCUUACCAAUAAAUUAAUUUUUUUCUCAAGCUAUCUAUUCUUUGCAACCAGAUAAU
Lutra lutra (Eurasian river otter) is the source of this 406-nucleotide long non-coding RNA. RefSeq lists it as uncharacterized. Lineage: Eukaryota; Metazoa; Chordata; Mammalia; Carnivora; Mustelidae. The record is from RefSeq and is a predicted model, not a curated record. The transcript has 3 exons.